CCCACGGCGGCGGCAAUGUUACGGGCGUUUCCCUGUGGCCUGAAGGUCUCUGGGCGGGAGUUCCGGCAUCUUUCUCGCGGCAGACAUAUUGUCGGCUCUCCGGUGGGAUCAUCUGAGCAAAAGCUCGGGGUUGCUGAACGGUUCCUAGGUGGCGGAAGCGGGAGGGUGCGGGAAGAGACGCUGUUCGCCCUGCAGAGUGGCUCGCCAGCGAAGACCCCCCGCCUCCGCCCCCGGGGUCGCACCAUCGCGGUCCCAGGGUUCCGCGACCUGGGUGUACCUCGCGGCUUGGUGCGGUCUACGAACUGUGAUGGCGGCGGCCGUGGUGUUGGGCCUGGCGCAGGUCCUCUGUCGUUGCUGAACUGUAACAAGAGAGAGAACUCCAGGUGCCUAAAUGAAGAGGGCAUGACUCUAGUCACAGCAGGAGAGGCUUGGGCAGGCCCUGGUUGUUGGCAUGGAGUGAAGGAUGAAGAGGCAUCUUCUGAACAGAGCCAUACUAAUAUGUCACAUAUUAAUACUUCCAAGGCAGGUUCACCCACACAGGCGGCUCACUUUUGUGACAUAUGUUACCCUAUCUUGAAAGAUAUUUUGCACCUGGAUGAACACCAGGGUAAACACCUUGGACUAAAACUUCACACAUGUGAGGCUUGUGGGAGACAAUUUGGGUUCAGUGUAAACCUUCACCAGAACCAGAAGUGUUACAGUAUAGAGAAACCCUUAAGAAGAGAUGAAGGUGAGGCCUCAUUUGUGAAUAACUGCACAGUUAGCAAAGAACCUCACCCAUCAGAAAAGCCCUUUGCCUGUAAGGAGGAGCAGAAAAACUUCCAGGCUACUUUGGGUGCUUGCCAACAAAAGGCCACCCAAAGCAAGAGGAAGACACACAGAAGCACUGAGAAUAAGGAUGCAUUUCAUGGUGAACAAAUGCAUUACAAGUGCAGUGAAUGUGAGAAGGCUUUCCGCCGCAAAGACACACUGGUCCAACACCAGAGAAUCCAUAGUGGAGAGAAACCUUAUGAAUGCAAUGAAUGUGGAAAAGCCUUCUGCCGCAAAGCUACACUUGUCCAGCACCAGACAAUCCAUACUGGAGAAAGGCCUUAUGAGUGCAGUGAAUGUCGAAAAACCUUCAGCCGCAAAGCUACACUUGUCCAGCACAAGAGAAUCCAUAGUGGAGAAAGGCCUUAUGAGUGCAGCGAAUGUGGAAAAACCUUCAGUCAAAAAGACAACCUUACUCAGCACAAGAGAAUCCACACUGGAGAAAUGCCUUAUAAGUGCAAUGAAUGUGGGAAAUAUUUUAGCCAUCACUCCAAUCUAAUUGUACACCAGAGAGUUCACACUGGAGCAAGGCCUUAUAAGUGCAGUGAUUGUGGGAAAGUCUUCAGACACCAAUCUACACUUGUUCAACAUGAGAGUAUUCACACUGAGUCAAAGCGUUUUGAGUGCAUUGAAUGUGGGAAAUUCUUUAGUCGAAGUUUUGAGUUUAUUGCACACCAGAGGGUUCACACUGGUGAAAGGCCUUUUGUAUGCAGUACAUGUGGGAAAGAUUUUAUCAGAACCUCCCACCUUGUUCGGCACCAAAGACUUCACACUGGAGAAAGGCAGUGAAUGUGGGAAGGCCUACCGCUUAAGCCUUCACCUCGAAUCGGCACCAGAAAGUUCACACUGCAGGCAGGCUCUAGGACUGCUCUGAAUACAACAGAACUCAUCAGUCAGAUAUUGAACUUCAUAUAUCUGAACAUUGACUCAAGGGAGAUACCUUAUGGUGCCAGGUAUGUGGGAAGCUUCUAGGGAUGUGUUGCACUUUCUGACCUGCUCAGGUUUUUUGCCUGUCAGUACCUGUGGCCAAAACCAUCUUAACUCUACCAGCUUACAUACCCCAGCAUCAGGGAAGGCAGGGUUUUAUAUUCUCCAGUCCCUGGAGAAAAUCAUGAAAUGCCUGAGUUCAUUGGGGGUCCUCAUUCCCUUCUGUGUGACAGGUAUAGAUAUGGACAUGACCCAUCAUUAGCCAAGAAGGUCUGAGCUAUAUCUGUUGGUGGCUUAUACAAAAGGUUUACUUUCUUCAUGGAUAGUCUUGGUCUCACAUACUUGUAAUGAAUUUUUCCAGCCUCCAAGUCACCUGAUCUGGGAAAGUACUUGCCUCAAGUUGCUCUGGUUUGCGAUAAUAAAGGCCUUACAGUUUAAGCCACUUUUAAUCUUGGGGGUUCUUUUCACUGGAUUAGAUUGAGAACAGGCCCUGCGAAACAGAAGACAGCCUUUGUGGGGGCCUCCAACUUUGUGUGCCUCAAAUGGGGCAGUGGGUUGAGGGAGAACAGUUCUUAGUCCAGUUUUGGACUAGACUAACUGAACUUCCAUAGCUGACAAAGCUUGUUAAGUAACAAUUCUUUGUAGGCCUGAUUUGUCCGGAUUUUAGAGUUAUUUGAGAGCCCAUAUGUCACUUUCAGGAGGGCGCUGCUGCUGUGACAGUCUGUAGUGUUUUGAAACAGCAUGGAUUGGGCGUCUUGUUUCUAGCAUAUGUCUCAUGUUCCCCAACACUAUUGAGGUAAACCUAUUCCUUAGGACCUGCUGAGUGGCCAUGUUUUCUGAAAACCGGAAUCUGGUACACAGGCCACUUGGUAAGAUCUAAAGCAUCCAGUAUGGAAACAAAAUUGAUAAAUAUUAGGUGUGAAUGAUUGGGCUUGGGGAGAUCGAGGCAAACUAGAGGGGGAGUGACCAUUGUAAAAACACCACAGACAGCCCAGGCACUAUGGCUGAAUGGGAUCAGGGUAUUCAGAAAUCUCAGGAUCUCCCGUACUGUGUUACUGUUACGGACAAGGUCCCUGGAGCAGCAAUGAAUGUAGUUUUCCUGGAUUCCUGUACCUCCCUAGGCUCUAUACCUAAUGUCUUUGCUACUUUAGGGCCUUUGCUGCACAUUCACUAACCCUGGGGGUAAAGAGGUGUGAUGGGCCAAGGAAGUACCUUUUGUGACCAGCUAGAGUUUCUGGUGACUGUGAGUAAUACCUGGAGGGACAACUAAAGAAAACAUUUAGAAAGCGCUAUCAGAAUGUGAAGGUGAACAGGGAUGCUGUAGUAUUCAUGCUUAUUCAUAGUUCUAACAGAUGUUCAAUAAACACCUGCUGUAUUUCAGGCACUGUCUUUACUGCAUGAAACAUUUGCAAAACAAGAGACAGACCCCAGUAGCUUACAUUGUACUCAAGAAAGAGGAGGAAAUAUGAAAAAAAAA
RNA transcript from Sapajus apella (tufted capuchin), 3214 nucleotides. It is a transcript of the gene named zinc finger protein 134, with no coding region annotated. Lineage: Eukaryota; Metazoa; Chordata; Mammalia; Primates; Cebidae. The transcript is spliced from 4 exons. The record is from RefSeq and is a predicted model, not a curated record.